CUGGUUCCCAGCAGUUGCUCCAGUGGCUGAUGCUUGCAGCAGGCUGGGGAGCAGGUGGUACCCAGCUGGGCGAACUGAGGCCCCAGGACAGGCCCUUCCCCCACCCCGCCAUCUCAAGAUCCAGUCUGCAAGAGGACCCGCCUGCCCCUCAGGGUCCUGCCAGGGGACCUGUCACCUGCUGGUAUAUUUUUGGUUUUUUAGAGCCGGGGGCUGAACUCGGCCUUGCACAUGUGAGGCAAGCACUCACCACUGAGUUACAUUCCCGGCCCUUUUGGAGUGAAGGUCUCACGAAGUUGCCAGGCUGGCCUUGAACUUAUGAUUCUCCUGCCUCAGCCUCCCAAGUAGCUGGGAUCAUAGGUGUGUGCCACUGAACCCAGCUAACCUGUCACCUGCUCUAUGGAGGCGAGGCUGGGUCACAUUUGAGGCCAAGCCAGGAGUCCACAUCCGUUUGCAGCGCACUGGGCACCCACCUGCCAUCCCUCUUCCCAUUCCAUCCCGUCGGGUGCAGCGCACAGGCCACGCUGUGGCUGGGUGGGGAGGCAGAGCCUCGGGCUGUUGCUUAUGUACAGCUCCCACAUCUGCACCUGGGCUGGGGUUUCCCCGUCCCCUGGUUAGGCUGUGCUGUCCAGCCUGGUGGGGAACCUGCCUAGCUCCUGGGGCGGCCGUCGGCCCCUGGCAAGGUCCUACUUCUUUCCUCGGUACAAAAGCCUCCCUUUCCUCCCCUCCCUGCCCUUCCACCUCCCACCUCCUUGACCUCCAGAACCAGAGCUGCCUAGAGCUUCAAGGCCCACAGGUGCCAGCACUGCCGGGACCCGGAUGCCCUUCCUGCACCCUGACCACUCCAGACCAUCCACAUGGCCCUCCUUGGGGGCCAGGGGCUGCAGCAUCUGCCAGGGGCCACCAGGAUAUGUGGCCCGUGACAAUGACCAUGGUGGAGUGGGCCCUGCCCCACGCCGCACUCAAUGGUGUCUCAGGUGACCCUUGCAGCAGCUCCCAGGCAGGCUCUAUCACCCUGCCAAGAGACCCCAGGAAGGUGAGAAC
Heterocephalus glaber (naked mole-rat) is the source of this 1041-nucleotide long non-coding RNA. The record is from Ensembl. NCBI's taxonomy places the organism in Eukaryota, Metazoa, Chordata, Mammalia, Rodentia, Bathyergidae.